CCUACGGGAGGCAGCAGUGGGGAAUAUUGGACAAUGGGCGAAAGCCUGAUCCAGCCAUGCCGCGUGUGUGAAGAAGGCCUUCGGGUUGUAAAGCACUUUCAGAGGGGAAGAAAGCCUUGGGGCUAAUACCCUCGAGGAAGGACAUCACCCACAGAAGAAGCACCGGCUAACUCCGUGCCAGCAGCCGCGGUAAUACGGAGGGUGCGAGCGUUAAUCGGAAUUACUGGGCGUAAAGCGCGCGUAGGCGGUCUGAUAAGCCGGUUGUGAAAGCCCCGGGCUCAACCUGGGAACGGCAUCCGGAACUGUCAGGCUAGAGUGCAGGAGAGGAAGGUAGAAUUCCCGGUGUAGCGGUGAAAUGCGUAGAGAUCGGGAGGAAUACCAGUGGCGAAGGCGGCCUUCUGGACUGACACUGACGCUGAGGUGCGAAAGCGUGGGUAGCAAACAGGAUUAGAUACCCCUGUAGUC
Molecule: ribosomal RNA, 465 nt
Filed under: Vreelandella stevensii
Lineage: Bacteria; Pseudomonadati; Pseudomonadota; Gammaproteobacteria; Oceanospirillales; Halomonadaceae
Description: partial 16S ribosomal RNA
Rfam family: Bacterial small subunit ribosomal RNA
Source: RNAcentral